This 1043-nucleotide long non-coding RNA is filed under the name Homo sapiens (human). RNAcentral describes it as "HSALNT0229280". The record is from RNAcentral. Lineage: Eukaryota; Metazoa; Chordata; Mammalia; Primates; Hominidae.
UUUUUGUAUUUUUAAUAGAGACGGGGUUUCACCAUGUUGGCCAGGCUGGUCUCAAACUCCUGACCUCAGGGGAAGCCCCUGCACCCUCCAUAUAAAAUAGCAGCCCCUGGCCAUUUUUCUCUAUCCCCUUCCUAUUUUAUUUUUCUUAUCAGCCCUGUUGUCUCCUGACACAUUAUAUACUUGUUUCUCUUCUGCCUUAUCCUCAGUGUCCGGAAUGGUACCCAGGAUGGUGGUACACUGGAGCACACACACCUAAGUAAGGGGACAGCUGUUCCUCAGCUCUGGUCACUGUUAGUGUAUAAGAAUGUGGAACCCUUGCCUGGGCAUGGUGGCUCACGCCUGUAAUCCCAGCACUUUGGGAGGGUGAGGCGGGCAAAUCACCUGAGGUCAGGAGUUCGAGACCAGUCUGGCCAACAUGGUGAAACCCCAUCUCUACUAAAAAUACAAAAAUUAGUGGGGCGUACUGGUUGGCGCCUGUAAUCUCAACUACUCGGGAGGCAGAGGCUGGAGAAUCGCUUGAACCCUGGAGGCAGAGGUUGCAGUGAGCCGAGAUCGCACCACUGCACUCUGGCCUGGGUGACAAGAGUGAGACAACGUCUCAAAAUAAAUAAAUAAAUAAAAAUGUCAGCUAGUAAUUCACAUCUUUUAAAAGCAAUGUACAAGUCAACGGGGUGGAGGGCAACAGAACAUGUCUGCAGCAAGCCAGUCUGUGAACUCAGAGAAGCUAUGAAAUUGAACUUCACGGAAGAUGUGAUUAAAGGCGAGAGGCUGGUGUGUUUCAACAGUGAAGGUCAGAUGAAAAGUACAUAUGCGGACAUGCAUUUCCUCUUGCUCCAUUUCAGGUUGCGCUUGCAAACAGUGUGAGGUGGCUGAGUAUAUUUAGCCACGUGCCUUUUUUUUUUUUCCCUGUUCAGAUUGCAUCUCUUAAGACUUCUGCCUUUGCUGAAAACUGGCAUUGCCAUUUUACUCUUACACUUUGCAGGAAAAUAACUCCAAGAGGAAAUUGACUGUGAAGCCUUAUGGAGUGCCCCCUCAAGAUGGGG